This 213-nucleotide ribosomal RNA is filed under the name uncultured bacterium. Its description in RNAcentral is "partial 16S ribosomal RNA". It matches the Rfam family "Bacterial small subunit ribosomal RNA", at positions 137 to 334 of the family's 1533-position model. The record is from RNAcentral.
AGGGGGACAACAGUUGGAAACGACUGCUAAUACCGCAUACGAUCCAAUCUCGGCAUCGAGACUGGAUGAAAGGUGGCCUCUAUUUAUAAGCUAUCACUGAAGGAGGGGAUUGCGUCUGAUUAGCUAGUUGGAGGGGUAACGGCCCACCAAGGCGAUGAUCAGUAGCCGGUCUGAGAGGAUGAACGGCCACAUUGGGACUGAGACACGGCCCAG